RNAcentral lists this ribosomal RNA (492 nucleotides) under uncultured bacterium. RNAcentral's name for it is "partial 16S ribosomal RNA". It matches the Rfam family "Bacterial small subunit ribosomal RNA", at positions 29 to 507 of the family's 1533-position model. The record is from RNAcentral.
AGUGAACGCUGGCGGUAUGCCUAACACAUGCAAGUCGAACGGCAGCACAGUAAGUGCUUGCUCUUACGGGUGGCGAGUGGCGUACGGGUGAGGAAUACAUCGGAAUCUACUUUUUCGUGUGGGAUAACGUAGGGAAACUUACGCCAAUACCGCAUACGACCUACGGGUGAAAGCAUGUGAUCUUCGGACCUGGUUCGAUUGAAUGAGCCGAUGUCGUUUUAGCUAGUUGGCGGGGUAAAGGCCCACCAGGGCGGCGAUCCGUAGCUGGUCUGAGAGGAUGAUCAGCCGCCCUGGAGCUGAAACAGGGUCACGACGCCUACGAGAGGGAGCAGUGGGGAAUAUUAGACAAUAGGCGGAAGCCUGAUCCAGCCGUACCGAGUGGGUGGAGGAGGCGUUCGGGUUGUGAAGACCUUUUGUUGGGAGAGAAAAGCAGCAGGUUGAUACCAAGCUGUUCUGACGGUACCCGAAGAAUAAGCACCGGCUAACUUCGUG